This 318-nucleotide long non-coding RNA is filed under the name Mustela putorius furo (domestic ferret). RNAcentral describes it as "lncRNA (ENSMPUG00000027696.1)". The record is from RNAcentral. Lineage: Eukaryota; Metazoa; Chordata; Mammalia; Carnivora; Mustelidae.
UUUGGGGUAGCCUGGACAGAGGAAUUCCAAGCUCACAUGGUCCAAAGAACAUCUGUGCUUCUUCCUGACCUCUAUCCUCACAAGGCUGGGUAGGCCAUGGGUUGGGACUACACACUAACUCUCCUCUUCCUUCCUGCUAUUUUCCGGCAUGGAACUCUGAACCUCAGUCUGAGAAAUCUAAAUUCAGACCUAAUCAUUGAGGUUGUUACAAAGAUGCCAAGUUUCCCAUCAUCGUACGCUGACUCUGACGCACUGACUCACGCCUUGUUCUUCAGUUCUCACGUCUGUGAAAUGGAAGGGUUCUGAUUGUGACUCCUU